Molecule: transfer RNA, 67 nt
Filed under: Micrura bella
Lineage: Eukaryota; Metazoa; Nemertea; Pilidiophora; Heteronemertea; Lineidae
Description: tRNA-Arg
Source: RNAcentral
AGACAAAAAGUACUGAAGUUGGUAUGUGUAGUUUCGGCCUACAAGGAGGACUGUUGUCCUUUGUUUU